AUACGUAGGGUGCGAGCGUUAAUCGGAAUUACUGGGCGUAAAGCGUGCGCAGGCUGUUUUGUAAGUCAGAUGUGAAAUCCCCGAGCUCAACUUAGGAACUGCGUUUGAAACUACAAGACUAGAAUAUGUCAGAGGGGGGUAGAAUUCCACGUGUAGUAGUGAAAUGCGUAGAGAUGUGGAGGAAUACCAAUGGCGAAGGCAGCCCCCUGGGAUAAUAUUGACGCUCAUGCACGAAAGCGUGGGGAGCAAACAGGAUUAGAUACCCUGGUAGUCCACGCCCUAAACGAUGUCUACUAGUUGUUGGUGGAGUAAAAUCCAUGAGUAACGCAGCUAACGCGUGAAGUAGACCGCCUGGGGAGUACGGUCGCAAGAUUAAA
Molecule: ribosomal RNA, 377 nt
Filed under: uncultured bacterium
Lineage: Bacteria
Description: bacterial SSU rRNA
Rfam family: Bacterial small subunit ribosomal RNA
Source: RNAcentral